Molecule: ribosomal RNA, 543 nt
Filed under: uncultured archaeon
Lineage: Archaea
Description: bacterial SSU rRNA
Rfam family: Bacterial small subunit ribosomal RNA
Source: RNAcentral
CAGCAGCCGCGGUAAUACGUAGGGGGCGAGCGUUGUCCGGAAUUACUGGGCGUAAAGGGUACGCAGGCGGCCUGAUAAGUCAGCUGUGAAAUACCACGGCUUAACCGUGGGGGUGCAGUUGAAACUGUUGGGCUUGAGUGCAGGAGAGGAAAGCGGAAUUCCUAGUGUAGCGGUGAAAUGCGUAGAGAUUAGGAGGAACACCAGUGGCGAAGGCGGCUUUCUGGACUGUAACUGACGCUGAGGUACGAAAGCGUGGGUAGCGAACAGGAUUAGAUACCCUGGUAGUCCACGCCGUAAACGAUGGAUACUAGGUGUAGGAGGUAUCGACCCCUUCUGUGCCGUAGUUAACGCACUAAGUAUCCCGCCUGGGGAGUACGUGCACAAGCAUGAAACUCAAAGGAAUUGACGGGGACCCGCACAAGCAGCGGAGCAUGUGGUUUAAUUCGAAGCAACGCGAAGAACCUUACCAGGGCUUGACAUCCCGAUGACCGGUAUAGAGAUAUACCUUCUCUUCGGAGCAUUGGAGACAGGAGGUGCAUGGCC